This is a long non-coding RNA of Maniola jurtina (meadow brown), 224 nucleotides long. RefSeq lists it as uncharacterized. The transcript is spliced from 2 exons. The record is from RefSeq and is a predicted model, not a curated record. Lineage: Eukaryota; Metazoa; Arthropoda; Insecta; Lepidoptera; Nymphalidae.
CUAUCGUUUUUUCGAACUAUGUGCCCUGCAAAUUGCCACUUCCUGUAUCCAAUACGGAUGAUAUAUUAUUUCCUAAUUACUAUCCAAUCAUUCAUACUAAUUAUUACUACAGAACAUGUAGAGUUCUGUCAUCGGUGUUAAUCGUGUAGGUAAGUAUUCGUAAAAUAAAAGGCUAUAUUUUUCAUUCUCUGCUAUCAGUCGAAUACCUACUCGACUAUUUUGUU